CAGUAGCCACGGUAAUACGUAGGUCCCGAGCGUUGUCCGGAUUUAUUGGGCGUAAAGCGAGCGCAGGCGGUUAGAUAAGUCUGAAGUUAAAGGCUGUGGCUUAACCAUAGUACGCUUUGGAAACUGUUUAACUUGAGUGCAAGAGGGGAGAGUGGAAUUCCAUGUGUAGCGGUGAAAUGCGUAGAUAUAUGGAGGAACACCGGUGGCGAAAGCGGCUCUCUGGCUUGUAACUGACGCUGAGGCUCGAAAGCGUGGGGAGCAAACAGGAUUAGAUACCCGCGUAGUCCCUGUCUCUUAUACA
Molecule: ribosomal RNA, 301 nt
Filed under: uncultured bacterium
Lineage: Bacteria
Description: partial 16S ribosomal RNA
Rfam family: Bacterial small subunit ribosomal RNA
Source: RNAcentral